AUGGCGCCCAAGGCGGAGAAGAAGCCGGUGGCUACGGAGAAGUCCCCGGCGGGGAAGAAGCCCAAGGCUGAGAAGCGGCCGCCGGCGUCCAAGGAGGGCGGCGACAAGAAGGGGAAGAAGAAGGCCAAGAAGAGCGUGGAGACGUACAAGAUCUACAUCUUCAAGGUGCUGAAGCAGGUGCACCCGGACAUUGGCAUCUCCUCCAAGGCCAUGUCCAUCAUGAACUCCUUCAUCAACGACAUCUUCGAGAAGCUUGCCGGCGAGUCCGCCAAGCUGGCCAGAUACAACAAGAAGCCCACCAUCACCUCCCGGGAGAUCCAGACCUCCGUCCGCCUUGUCCUCCCCGGCGAGCUCGCCAAGCAUGCCGUCUCUGAGGGCACCAAGGCCGUCACCAAGUUCACCUCCUCCUAG
This 411-nucleotide ribosomal RNA is filed under the name Triticum aestivum (bread wheat). RNAcentral describes it as "partial small subunit ribosomal RNA". Lineage: Eukaryota; Viridiplantae; Streptophyta; Magnoliopsida; Poales; Poaceae. The record is from RNAcentral.